RNAcentral lists this ribosomal RNA (253 nucleotides) under uncultured bacterium. RNAcentral's name for it is "partial 16S ribosomal RNA". It matches the Rfam family "Bacterial small subunit ribosomal RNA", at positions 524 to 776 of the family's 1533-position model. The record is from RNAcentral.
UACGUAGGGUGCAAGCGUUAAUCGGAAUUACUGGGCGUAAAGCGUGCGCAGGCGGUGAUGUAAGACAGAUGUGAAAUCCCCGGGCUCAACUUGGGAACUGCAUUUGUGACUGCAUCGCUGGAGUGCGGCAGAGGGGGAUGGAAUUCCGCGUGUAGCAGUGAAAUGCGUAGAGAUGCGGAGGAACACCGAUGGCGAAGGCAGCCCCCUGGGCUAGCACUGACGCUCAGGCACGAAAGCGUGGGGAGCAAACAGG